AGUGAACGCUGGCGGUAGGCCUAACACAUGCAAGUCGAACGGCAGCACAGUAAGAGCUUGCUCUUACGGGUGGCGAGUGGCGGACGGGUGAGGAAUACAUCGGAAUCUACUUUUUCGUGGGGGAUAACGUAGGGAAACUUACGCUAAUACCGCAUACGACCUACGGGUGAAAGCAGGGGAUCUUCGGACCUUGCGCGAUUGAAUGAGCCGAUGUCGGAUUAGCUAGUUGGCGGGGUAAAGGCCCAACAAGGCGACGAUCCGUAGCUGGUCUGAGAGGAUGAUUCAGCCAAAUUGAAAUGGGGCACGGUCCCAGACGCUUACGGGAGGCAGAGUGGGGGUAUAUGGACAAUGGGGGGCAAGCUGGAUCAAGCCAUACGGGUGGGGUGAAGAAGGCCUUCGGUUUGUAAGGCCCUUUUGUGGGGAAAAAAAGCCGGCGGUUUAAAACCCGGCUGUCUGGCGGUAACCAAAAGAUAAGGACCGGCUAAAUUCGGG
Molecule: ribosomal RNA, 492 nt
Filed under: uncultured bacterium
Lineage: Bacteria
Description: partial 16S ribosomal RNA
Rfam family: Bacterial small subunit ribosomal RNA
Source: RNAcentral